RNAcentral lists this ribosomal RNA (500 nucleotides) under uncultured bacterium. RNAcentral describes it as "partial 16S ribosomal RNA". It matches the Rfam family "Bacterial small subunit ribosomal RNA", at positions 30 to 523 of the family's 1533-position model. The record is from RNAcentral.
AUUGAACGCUGGCGGCAUGCUUUACACAUGCAAGUCGAACGGUAACAGGGUGCUUGCACCGCUGACGAGUGGCGAACGGGUGAGUAAUGCGUCGGAACGUGCCGAGUAGUGGGGGAUAACGCAGCGAAAGUUGUGCUAAUACCGCAUACGUACUGAGGUAGAAAGUGGGGGACCUUCGGGCCUCACGCUAUUCGAGCGGCCGACGUCUGAUUAGCUAGUAGGUGAGGUAAAGGCUCACCUAGGCGACGAUCAGGAGCGGGUCUGAGAGGAUGGGCCCCCAACCUGGGACUGAGACACGGCCCAGACUCCAGCGGGAGGCAGCAGUGGGGAAUUUUGGACAAUGGGCGAAAGCCUGAUUCAGCCAUGCCGCGUGUCUGAAGAAGGCCUUCGGGUUGUAAAGGACUUUUGUCAGGGAGGAAAUCCCUAGUGCUAAUAACACUGGGGGAUGACAGUACCUGAAGAAUAAGCACCGGCUAACUACGUGCCAGCCGCCGCAGUAA